UUAUGUAAAUAUUUUCCAGAAGUUUUUUCGGCUCAACGAUCCGACAAGCUCUCAAUUGCUUUACUGAUGAGAGAUGGUCAAUAAUGGGAAAUGAUGGGAUAAAUGAUGUCACCAACCUUGUCAACUCAUCUUCCGAAAAAAUUAUGGGGGCUAAUACCUCUUUCAUCAACGGGUUUUCAGUUGUGAGUAAUGUAGUACUACGUGCUAAGACAUCCAUGCCUUUUCUGAAUGUACCUGUUGCUGUGCUUCUCAUAUUUCUUCGAGAGAAUAGGAAGAUAAUAGCAUUGAUGCUUACCCACCUUUUGGGGUCAAAGAUGCUCUUUAAGCUUAGGGGCUCGGUUUAGCG
Long non-coding RNA from Papaver somniferum (opium poppy), 346 nucleotides. RefSeq lists it as uncharacterized. The transcript is spliced from 3 exons. The record is from RefSeq and is a predicted model, not a curated record. Lineage: Eukaryota; Viridiplantae; Streptophyta; Magnoliopsida; Ranunculales; Papaveraceae.